UCUUUUCCUUUUUUUCCAGCCGCCGCGGUAAAACGUAGGGUGCAAGCGUUGUCCGGAAUUACUGGGUGUAAAGGGAGCGCAGGCGGACCGGCAAGUUGGAAGUGAAAACUAUGGGCUCAACCCAUAAAUUGCUUUCAAAACUGCUGGCCUUGAGUAGUGCAGAGGUAGGUGGAAUUCCCGGUGUAGCGGUGGAAUGCGUAGAUAUCGGGAGGAACACCAGUGGCGAAGGCGACCUACUGGGCACCAACUGACGCUGAGGCUCGAAAGCAUGGGUAGCAAACAGG
RNAcentral lists this ribosomal RNA (284 nucleotides) under Gemmiger formicilis. Its description in RNAcentral is "partial 16S ribosomal RNA". It matches the Rfam family "Bacterial small subunit ribosomal RNA", at positions 493 to 776 of the family's 1533-position model. The record is from RNAcentral. Lineage: Bacteria; Bacillati; Bacillota; Clostridia; Eubacteriales; Oscillospiraceae.